UUCCGGUUGAUCCCGCCGGAGGGGACCCCUAGCGGGCUCGCACUAAGCCAUGCAAGUCGGCUGGAGGCCAUUCCGCCCCUGGCGGCGCACGGCUCAGUAAUACACGGUCAACCUACCCUGGGGACCGGGAUAACCUCGGGAAACUGAGGCUAAUCCCGGAUAGGGGCCGGGUACUGGAAUGUCCCGGCCUCGAAAGUAGGCGGGGGGAGCCCCGCUGAGGCCCCAGGAUGGGACCGUGGCCUAUCAGGUAGUAGGUGGGGUAACGGCUCACCUAGCCUGAGACGGGUGCGGGCGGUGGGAGCCGGAGCCCGGAGAUGGGCACUGAGACAAGGGCCCAGGCCCUAAGGGGCGCAGCAGGCGGGAAACUUCCGCAAUGCGCGAAAGCGUGACGGAGUGAGCCCGCGUGCCGCUCGCUGAGGGCGGCUGUCCCCGGGUGUAAACAGCCCGGGACAGGAAGGGGAGGGCAAGGCUGGUGCCAGCCGCCGCGGUAAAACCAGCUCCUCGAGGGGUCCCCACGCAUACUGGGCCUAAAGCGUCCGUAGCCGGCCCCGCAAGUCCUCGGUUAAAUCCACCGGAAGACCGGUGGGCUGCCGGGGAUACUGCGGGGCUAGGGAGCGGGAGGGGCCGGGGGUAUUCCGGGGGGAGCGGUAAAAUGCGUAGAUCCCCGGAGGACCACCGGUGGCGAAGGCGCCCGGCUGGAACGCGUCCGGCGGUGAGGGACGAAAGCUGGGGGAGCAAACCGGAUUAGAUACCCGGGUAGUCCCAGCCGUAAACGAUGCCGGCUAGGUGCCGGCCGAGGUUUCGGCCUCGGCCGGUGUCGAAGCGAAGGCGUUAAGCCGGCCGCCUGAGGAGUACGGCCGCAAGGCUGAAACUUGAAGGAAUUGACGGGGGGGCACCACAAGGGGUGAAUGCCUGCGGCUUAAUUGGAGUCAACGCCGGG
RNAcentral lists this ribosomal RNA (940 nucleotides) under uncultured archaeon. RNAcentral's name for it is "bacterial SSU rRNA". It matches the Rfam family "Archaeal small subunit ribosomal RNA", at positions 1 to 922 of the family's 1478-position model. The record is from RNAcentral.